UAUGGUUCUCAGGUGACACACCCUGGAAUUGGGCUCCCACCUCUCUGGUUACGGGUGCAUCACCCGAGAACCACA
This is a non-coding RNA of Myotis brandtii (Brandt's bat), 75 nucleotides long. The record is from Rfam. NCBI's taxonomy places the organism in Eukaryota, Metazoa, Chordata, Mammalia, Chiroptera, Vespertilionidae.